GAGUUUGAUCCUGGCUCAGGAUGAACGCUGGCGGCGUGCUUAACACAUGCAAGUCGAACGAAGCAUUUAAGACAGAUUUCUUCGGGAUGAAGUUUUUAUGACUGAGUGGCGGACGGGUGAGUAACGCGUGGGUAACCUGCCUCACACAGGGGGAUAGCAGUUGGAAACGACUGGUAAUACCGCAUAAGCGCACAGCUUCGCAUGAAGCGGUGUGAAAAACUCCGGUGGUGUGAGAUGGACCCCGCGUCUGAUUAGGUAGUUGGUGAGGUAACGGCCCACCAAGCCGACGAUCAGUAGCCGACCUGAGAGGGUGACCGGCCACAUUGGGACUGAGACACGGCCCAGACUCCUACGGGAGGCAGCAGUGGGGAAUAUUGCACAAUGGGGGAAACCCUGAUGCAGCGACGCCGCGUGAGCGAAGAGUA
This 425-nucleotide ribosomal RNA is filed under the name uncultured bacterium. RNAcentral's name for it is "bacterial SSU rRNA". It matches the Rfam family "Bacterial small subunit ribosomal RNA", at positions 9 to 414 of the family's 1533-position model. The record is from RNAcentral.